UGGGGAAUCUUGCCCAAUGGGCGAAAGCCUGAGGCAGCAACGCCGCGUGCGGGAUGACGGCCUUCGGGUUGUAAACCGCUUUCAGCAGGGACGAAAUUGACGGUACCUGCAGAAGAAGCUCCGGCCAACUACGUGCCAGCAGCCGCGGUAAUACGUAGGGAGCGAGCGUUGUCCGGAUUUAUUGGGCGUAAAGAGCGCGUAGGCGGUUCGGUAAGUCGGAUGUGAAAACUCCAAGCUCAACUUGGAGCCUGCAUCCGAAACUGCUGUGACUAGAGUCAGGUAGGGGAACACGGAAUUCCAGGUGUAGCGGUGAAAUGCUUAGAUAUCUGGAGGAACACCAGUGGCGAAGGCGGUGUUCUGGGCCUGUACUGACGCUGAGGCGCGAAAGCGUGGGGAGCGAACAG
RNAcentral lists this ribosomal RNA (404 nucleotides) under uncultured bacterium. RNAcentral describes it as "bacterial SSU rRNA". It matches the Rfam family "Bacterial small subunit ribosomal RNA", at positions 355 to 775 of the family's 1533-position model. The record is from RNAcentral.